Molecule: ribosomal RNA, 580 nt
Filed under: uncultured Candidatus Poseidoniales archaeon
Lineage: Archaea; Methanobacteriati; Thermoplasmatota; Candidatus Poseidoniia; Candidatus Poseidoniales
Description: bacterial SSU rRNA
Rfam family: Archaeal small subunit ribosomal RNA
Source: RNAcentral
CGAAAACUUGGCAAUGCGAGCAAUCGUGACCAGGGAACUCCAAGUGGCUGGGGUAAUACCCAGUUUUUUCUUGACUCUUCAAAGGUCUUGGAAUAAGGGGUGGGUAAGGACGGUGCCAGCCGCCGCGGUAAUACCGGCGCCUCAAGUGGUAGUCGCUUUUAUUGGGCCUAAAACGUCCGUAGCCGGUCUGGUGCAUUCGUGGGUAAAUCAACCCGCUCAACGGGUUGAAUUCUGCGAGCACGGCCAGACUUGGGACCGGGAGAGGUGUGGGGUACUCUCAGGGUAGGGGUAAAAUCCUGUCAUCCUGAGAGGACCACCUGUUGCGAAGGCGCCACACUAGAACGGAUUCGACGGUCAGGGACGAAACCUAGGGGCACGAACCGGAUUAGAUACCCGGGUAGUCCUAGGUGUAAACGCUGUGGACUUGAUGUUGGGGGUGCUCCGAGCACUCUCAGUGUCGAAGCGAAGGUGAUAAGUCCACUGCCUGGGGAGUACGGUCGCAAGGCUGAAACUUAAAGGAAUUGGCGGGGGAGCACUGCAACCUGAGGAUUGUGCGGUUUAAUUGGACUCAACGCCGGAA